CUGGCUCCCAACGGACUUUCUCUCCUUCUUCCUUUCAUUACUAGAACCCUUCAAGUUUUAGCUCCUCAGCUAAAGACUACAAUUCCUAGCCUUUCUUGCAACCAGGUGUGGCCAUAUGUCUAAGUUCUGUCCGAUGGGAAGAUUGCAAGUGAUGUAUGCAACUCUAGUUGGAUACUCAAUGGGAGCUGCCUGCCCAUCACUUCUUUUCCCUUCUCAUUGGCAGGGGGUGGUCGUGUUGAACUCUUCCUGACCAUGCAGAUACAGUGAGAAGACAGCUGUCUAUGAAAUGGAGCCUCACCAGACACUGACUCUGCUGUUCUUGGACUUCUCAGCCUCCAGAACUGUGAGAAAUAAAUGCCUGUUGUUUAAGCCACCAGGUCUAUAGUAGUUGACCAGUCUAUGCCAGCUUGACCAGACUGAGACACAUGUCUUUUGAUUAUAUGACAAUCUUUUACAUCCUUUCCCCCUUUACCAUUAGCCUUCAGUGGAACCUCUGCAGAUGUAGAAAGGAUAUUUGGGACUUGCCAUCUUCCAACACAUUGUGCUGCAUUACAGGAAGUUUCCAGAAUCCAAGAGACUGAAAUACACUGGCUCAACAGAGUGAGCCCAGGACAUUUAAAUGUAUCUGACAGGAGAGUAGAGUAGAGAGAGUAGAGGCUACCAACACGAU
This 670-nucleotide long non-coding RNA is filed under the name Equus caballus (horse). Its description in RNAcentral is "lncRNA (ENSECAG00000047606.1)". The record is from RNAcentral. Lineage: Eukaryota; Metazoa; Chordata; Mammalia; Perissodactyla; Equidae.